Molecule: ribosomal RNA, 440 nt
Filed under: uncultured bacterium
Lineage: Bacteria
Description: partial 16S ribosomal RNA
Rfam family: Bacterial small subunit ribosomal RNA
Source: RNAcentral
CCUACGGGUGGCUGCAGUGGGGAAUAUUGCACAAUGGGGGAAACCCUGAUGCAGCGACGCCGCGUGAGUGAAGAAGGCUUUCGGUAUGUAAAGCUCUAUCAGCAGGGAAGAAAAUGACGGUACCUGGUUAAGAAGCCCCGGCUAACUACGUGCCAGCAGCCGCGGUAAUACGUAGGGGGCAAGCGUUAUCCGGAUUUACUGGGUGGAAAGGGAGCGUAGACGGUGAUGCAAGUCAGAAGUGAAAGCCCGGGGCUCAACUCCGGGACUGCUUUUGAAACUGUGUGACUGGAGUGAAGGAGAGGUAAGCGGAAUUCCUGGUGUAGCGGUGAAAUGCGUAGAUAUCAGGAGGAACACCAGUGGCGAAGGCGGCUUACUGGACUGUAACUGACGUUGAGGCUCGAAAGCGUGGGGAGCAAACAGGAUUAGAUACCCGGGUAGUC